UCUCCACUUCUGAUAUGUCUGUAUAUGUUGUGGUCUCCACCUUACUGAUUAAGAAUUGGAUGUGCUCUUUGUGUCUUUCUAUGUCAGAUUUGAUCUGCAAGGCAAUACAUUGCACUGUAAGGAGGGUUUAUCUGACAGAGGCUAUAUAUAUAUAUAUAUGCCAGGUGACAGUUUCCCUUUCUGGCUCAUCCUAUUCUCCAUAUGAGACUCCCUUCUUGUGAGCGCACGGUACAACUCAACAACCUCAGGAGCACGCCGCACAGAUCUUUUUCCGAGUGUUGUUUUUGAUGGCAAUGGUGGAGGUGGUGGUGGUUUUAUUACAGGAGAUGAUUCUUGGAUGCUUGUCUUAGGACUCGGGUUCUUUGCCUCUUGACCCUUUUCAUUGAGCUUGACGUUUUCAAGCGCUUUCAGAUCGAUCCUUACGAGGGAACCUUGAAACUCCUUCACCAUACGCAUGAGAUCUGAGUCAUCAUCAUGAUUUGUUUAGAUGGAAGAUUCUCCGGAUCAGCAAACGAACGGUGGCUACGCCAUUAUAGAAUCGUCUUGAGGAAAACGAGCAAAAAUUCUUCCAGUUAAAAUGAGCCACCAAAUAAAAUAUCUGCAACUUUUUUUGUUACCAAAAGGAACCACCUUUUAAAUUUAAAGAAUUAUGUUAGUGGGUGGAUUUCCGCAGAGUUAUUUGUAGAACCACCGGGAAUUUGAUUACUUUACAAAACUGUUUUCUAGUCUCUCUCUCUCUAUAUAUAUAUAUAUAUAGACACACGCACACGCACACAAACUAGUAGGCUUUGUUGUUUCUUUGUUGUGUAUUGGUUUACCAUUCUCUGAAGCAAGAUAAGAAUAUAAGGUGAUGGUGAAAAGUAAAAGAAAAAAGACAAGGACCUGAAAGUCACUUCCUACCAACACCUUUCUUCUCACAUUCGUGAUUUUUGCAUCUCUACUCCAUCCAGAUUACACAAAAGCUAAAUGAUUUUUGGCGUUUUUAUUUCAAAUCUUGCUUCUUCUUUUUUACUUUUCUAGAAACUAGAGGGGGUAUUAUGUUCUUGUCCUGAUAAUCAUCCCCUGCCUCACACUCAUCUUAGUAAACAGUUGUUAAAGCUCUUUCAUGAUUGACAUGCAAUGGUCCUCGGGGUGGUGUUUAUGGUGGUAA
Molecule: long non-coding RNA, 1150 nt
Organism: Tarenaya hassleriana
Lineage: Eukaryota; Viridiplantae; Streptophyta; Magnoliopsida; Brassicales; Cleomaceae
Exons: 5
Source: RefSeq, a predicted model, not a curated record